Molecule: ribosomal RNA, 533 nt
Filed under: uncultured bacterium
Lineage: Bacteria
Description: bacterial SSU rRNA
Rfam family: Bacterial small subunit ribosomal RNA
Source: RNAcentral
AUUAGAGUUUGAUCAUGGCUCAGAGUGAACGCUGGCGGUAGGCCUAACACAUGCAAGUCGAACGGCAGCACAGGAGAGCUUGCUCUCUGGGUGGCGAGUGGCGGACGGGUGAGGAAUACAUCGGAAUCUACCUUUUCGUGGGGGAUAACGUAGGGAAACUUACGCUAAUACCGCAUACGACCUAUGGGUGAAAGUGGGGGACUGCAAGGCCUCACGCGAUUAGAUGAGCCGAUGUCCGAUUAGCUAGUUGGCGGGGUAAUGGCCCACCAAGGCGACGAUCGGUAGCUGGUCUGAGAGGAUGAUCAGCCACACUGGAACUGAGACACGGUCCAGACUCCUACGGGAGGCAGCAGUGGGGAAUAUUGGACAAUGGGCGCAAGCCUGAUCCAGCCAUACCGCGUGGAUGAAGAAGGCCUUCGGGUUGUAAAGCCCUUUUGUUGGGAAAGAAAUCCUGUCGAUUAAUACUCGGUGGGGAUGACGGUACCCAAAGAAUAAGCACCGGCUAACUUCGUGCCAGCAGCCGCGGUAAUAAU